Molecule: long non-coding RNA, 1887 nt
Organism: Camponotus floridanus (Florida carpenter ant)
Lineage: Eukaryota; Metazoa; Arthropoda; Insecta; Hymenoptera; Formicidae
Exons: 7
Source: RefSeq, a predicted model, not a curated record
AUGGUUGACGCUACCUUUUAGCGACAAUGAAAUUAUCUUCCUUUAUUCCUCCAUUGUCCUCCAGACGGUCCUUUUAUGUAAUAAAUAUAAUGCUCCAUCUGUAUACGUAAUACGUCUAUGCUCCGAGAUGUAGGAAUUACCUGGUCUGAAGUACUGUCGAUCUUGUCGACGUUUGUGGUUUAAUUAAUCGAUUCAAUGAUUAUUGUAUAUAAAUCAUCGAAUAUCUUACUUAUAUUUUGAUCUGUCGAAAAAAUUAUUACAUUGACAUUAUAGAUCAAUAUAUAUAAUUGCAAAUUUAUAAUUUAAUAUUGCUAGUCAAAUGCCUAAUGUCAUAAUGUCUAAGAAUGUAUAUUAUAUAUAUUGAUGUAUAUGAUAAUGUUAAAAAUUAAAAAUAAAUUGCCAUCAGUAUUAAAUAAUUAAAUAAAAAUGGAGGAGAGAGCAAUGCUAUGGAUGCUUUCUCUUGUUAUGUUUGUUGGAUCUUGUCUUGGAGCUGGAUCACUGCCAUUAAGUUAAAUAAAUUUAUCAGAAGAAGUAAGAUAUAGAAGUGAAGAAGAAUAUUUUAUGUAAUAUAAAAUUAUGACAAGUUACAAUUAGUUUCAAUAUUAGGAGCAGGACUCCUUGUUGGUACUGCGCUAGCGAUUAUACCUGACUGUACCUGAGGGUGUAAGAGCAUUAUUUACUGUGGAUGGUAUUAAUAAUGAAAAAGGCAAUUUACAUACUUUAACUUGGAAUUAGUUUAGUACUUGGUUUAUGCUUUUAAUUGAUCAAUGUUCAGCCAGAAAAAGUGGAGGAAGACAAGAAAAGUAUUACAGCAACUUUAGGUCUUAUAGUAGAUGCUGCUAGUUGAUUGGCGGUGUUGCAUUGGGAGCUGCUGCUACUACAUCUCAAGCUGAUGUCGAAGUGUCUUAGUUUUUCUUCGCAAUAAUGUUACACAAGGCGCCAGAUGCAUUUGGACUUGUGUCAAUUUCUUCUUCAUGAAGGUGUAGAUAGAAAGUAAGAAAAUAAGCAGACACUUAUUAAUUUUCUCUCUUGCGGCACCGUGUCUUGCACUUGUGACAUAUUUUGGAAUUGGAAAAGUAAUGUGAGUGAGUAAUAGUAUAUGGAAUGUAUCGCAAGAUGUGUACACAUACAGUUACACCCCAUAUGCGCACUAUACUUGUUUCUUUUGCUGUAUACAUAUGCGUAUUGUUUAAUAGAAACAUUUAUUAUCUGAAAGGAAAAAAUGUUCCUGCUGAUGCACAAAAGCGUAACGUCAUAUACUGAUAUAUCUAAACACUUAUGAUACUUGCCCUACAGAAUGACAUAAUUUAGAUAAAGGAAAAUACUUAAAUAAAGUGUUAUGCUUGCAGAUAUCCAAACUGUCGAAACGCAAUCUCUGCAAUAUACAAUUGUUGUAUGCAUAUAUGUAUGCAAAACAUAUAAUGGUGCGAGUUGGGAAAAAAAUGCUUUACGAUUUAGAACAGAUACAUUAGAAGCAAUUGUACUAAGCAUUUAACGAAUAAAAUUCAUUUAUAUAUUAUUUAUUUGCCCAAUAUUUCUGUUAUUAAAUUACGUAAUUUUUCCUUAACAGACACCUAUUGUAAUGAAAUAACAUACAGUGCACAAGAUAGUUAAUCAAUAUAUAUUAUAGAGAAACAAUAGAAAAUCCGGGACAUUCAGGACUGCCGCGCAAGACUGCACGCGCCAAUCAGGCGCGAGAACGGACGCGGACGCGCGAAGACUCCCAAUCAGGAGCGAGGACUGCCGUGCGUGCGCGAAGACGUCCAAUCAGGCGCGAGAACUGCCGCGCACGCCGCCAAGACUCCCAAUCAGGCGCGAGGACUGCCGCGGACGCGCGAAGACUGCCAAUCAGGAGCGAGGACUGCCGCGCACGCCGCCAUAACUGCC